This is a long non-coding RNA of Armigeres subalbatus, 2990 nucleotides long. RefSeq lists it as uncharacterized. The record is from RefSeq and is a predicted model, not a curated record. The transcript has 3 exons. Lineage: Eukaryota; Metazoa; Arthropoda; Insecta; Diptera; Culicidae.
UCAUACGGUGUACUUAUGAAAGAACAUGCGUUCAUUUCUGCUGAGUUUAUUUUGAGUGACAUUUCAACAGAAACAAGUGCGUAACGUGCGGAAGCCCUGGUGGAAGCAGCUCAAACGGAAGGGGAUCAAUCUCGGCAGCGGAAUGUCCGAAAAAUAUCGUUUACCGGCUUUACCAUCAACGUCGAGGAUGGCAAUGUUCUGGGCACCGUCACCGUUUCCAUGGAGCGACCAAACGUAUACAAGCACCACGAAGUUGGCGAAGGGAAAACCAUCAUUGUCCAUCCUCAAUCAACGAGCCGAUAACGAUCUUGGAUAAAAGAAACUCGGAGGGAAAUAUUCAACUGCCGAAAACUGCUAUCCGAGAUCCCGACAUCAAUCAACAAUCAAGAUCAUCAAGAACAAUUUCAAAAUUGGUUGACGGAAGUAAUCCGGCUCACGAGCAAUCAUUGAAAAAUUAAUGAAUAUAGUUAAUGGCGAGGUUAAUGCAAUCUAAUGGAAGAACGAUUAACCACACUCUGGAAUACAUCCAUGAAAAAGAAGGUAGAAGGGGACAUCUAAAAAGAUAAGUAUAAUUUCAAUUGUUUAAUUGCUUUAAAGGUGAAUCGUAUUUGGCACAGACUGACCUGUUAGACAUUUCGGUUAUACUAUGUUCGCAUUAGGGCAUUGUAGCAUGUUAUUCGGCUAUCUUGAUGACCUUUCUUUUGUCGAUAAUUUGAAUAACAUGUUAUUCAGGUCGUAGUGCGAACAUAGUAUUAGUUCAAGCACGCUUAAAGGAUUAUUUGUGAUUGUUUAGAUACUUGAUAUUCAGCAUUAUCACAAUAGCUCUAAUAAAUGGUCGCAAUGAUUGAAAUACCCAAAAAGGAAAAAAACAGCAUUGUCCGCUUCUAUGCGAAUAUUAAACAACCUAAGGCUAAAAGAUUAAGCUUAAGCGGAAAUUUUACCGAGGCAUUCAAUCAUAAAUUGUGGGACAAAAUUUAUCGUGUUUAGAUUUUUUAAUUUAAGGUGGCAUCCCGAGCAAAGCUUGAAAUCGAUAACUUGAUUUUGAUUACUCAGGUUGAUUAUUAUUUUGGUCGUUUUAACGAUUAAAAUAACAAAAUCUUACUGCGACAUCAAAUUGAAAACUAUUUCUAAACUGCAAAUUGAAAACUGAUUUUGAUAUUGGUUUUUGAUAACGAAAUAUGAGUUCAUAUAAUUUUGAAAUAAACUGCAAACUGAAAUCAAAAUAAGUAAUCAAUCACGGAGACCAAGAUUUGAAAAGAAAUUAUGAUUUCAAUUCGAUGUCUUUACCAAAAUAUGUUUUCUAUUUGCCCUCAUUAUUAUGUUAGACUUUACCCGGCAUGUGCAUUAAAAGGCAGUAAUUAUGAAGAAAUACUAAUCCUUUUUUCUUUUCUAUUUUAGUCUUCAACGCCAACAUCAUGACAUCCUUAGACAUUGAUAUGCUUAGAGCUCGAAUUCUCGGUUAGAACGCACUUUUUAAAAACAGCCAUAUGCUUUAGCUACUUAUACCUCAAACAUGACGAUUUAGUUGAUGAAGAAGUACCGCGAAGCUGCCAUUAGUAUACGAUACCAAAUUUUCAAAACGACAUAUCCUCGGACUUAUCUGCUUCGAAUCUGAUAGCACUUUCACGUAAACCAACGCACCAUCAACAGGUAGCAGAAACCCGAACCUAGGUAUUUAGGACGUAUGAAUCUUUGUUUACAAAAUCAGAUGAUUCGUUUUGAAAAUUUGGUAUUAAUUAGUUUAUUUUUUUUUUAUUUUGAAACAUGUUGAUUUUUUUUUUCAUUUUCGGAGCUACAACAUUAUUUCUUUUAACAUAAUUUUGAUGAUGUUUGGCAGUUAGCUUACUGGCAACUUAGUAAAAUCAUGUUUGGGGUGUUCAAUAAAAUGAUUUUAUAAUACAUUCAAGAUGAUGUUAUAAUACUCAAUACCCAUAAAAAACCAAAUUGAAGCUAUUCACUUUGAGAUAUAGGACAGAGGAUAGGAAAUAUGUGAAAUAUGUACUAACGACUGUUGGAAAACGUGUUUCCUUUUAUUCUUGAUAGCAAUUUUGAUUGUUAUUAAAAACUCAUUGAAAUUUCAUUAGGAAAACAUUGACAAAAAACAUGUAAAUCAUUUUAGCUGUAUUGAAGUAUAUACAUAGCUCGUUCACUCGCUCAUUCAUUCAAAUGAUAAAAACGUUCUAGUAUUUUUACAAGCUUAGUUGAUGUAGUUUUUACAUAUACUAGAGACAGACUGGUGGUAUUUGUACCACGAUUCAUGGGUAUUAUCUGUAAUGAUGACAAAAAUUGCUGUGCAACCGAAGAAAACGAAAGCUUGAAACAUGUCAAUGAGUGAGUCACAUGCAUUUAAAAGUCACCAGCCUUGUCACCAGCACACUCUGCAUCUCACUGGACUGGAAAUAGUAAUUUAUUGGAGCGGUGAAUUGUGUAGGGAUCCUGAAAGAUGAAGCAAAAGUGCUCGAUAAAGCCUAGCAGAUAGUAUAUAGUUUUAGCUUUGUGAAUGAUUGUGUUAUAGUUUCGUUAUAAUAAGUUUCGAGUCUGAAAUUGACCAACUGAGUCAGUUAUUUGGCAACAAGACAAGACUGUAUAACUUUCUUUAGUUUAGAUGUUCAGAUGUUUAAGUCAAGAAUAGAGGUAAUAAACUAUAGAGGAAGAUUGUCAGUUCCCUUUGUUCUAGUUCCCAAACUUGUUGGGUAUCGAAACGAACUGAUUUUUCCUUCGUUGACGCCUUAACCUUCGAGUGCCCUAACCACACCAGCAAAAGAUGUUUUGCCAGUGACGACUGCGACAAUCUUCCUCUAUAGUGUAUUGCCUCUAUUAAGUCAAGUGAUUUGCUCAAUUUAUAUGCAUAACUAUAGUUAUAUAUAGUUUAUAAACCUUGACAAGUAUGACUUAUUUUAUCUUAACGCAGUGUAAUUUGGUAUAUUUUGUAUUUAUAGUAAUUUGAAAAGAUGAUUUAUUAAUAAAUUUUAUCUCCUGGUUUAAAAAAA